CGGUACGUACUGGCAUUGUUGGUUUCUCCCUUCUGACGAACCAUGAUGUCAUUUAUUUGGUGUUGUGGGGAAUCAGGACUGUUACUUUGAAAAAAUUAGAGUGUUUAAAGCAGGCUCACGCUUGAAUACAUUAGCAUGGAAUAAUAAAAUAGGACGUUUGAUUCUAUUUUGUUGGUUUCUAGGAUCGACGUAAUGAUUAAUAGGGAUAGUUGGGGGCAUUAGUAUUCAAUUGUCAGAGGUGAAAUUCUUGGAUUUAUUGAAGACUAACUACUGCGAAAGCAUUUGCCAAGGAUGUUUUCAUUAAUCAAGAACGAAAGUUAGGGGAUCGAAGACGAUCAGAUACCGUCGUAGUCUUAACUAUGAACUAUGCCGACUAGGGAUCGGAUGAUGUUAAUUUUUUAAUGACUCAUUCGGCGCCUUACG
This 423-nucleotide ribosomal RNA is filed under the name uncultured Glomeromycotina. RNAcentral describes it as "SSU rRNA". It matches the Rfam family "Eukaryotic small subunit ribosomal RNA", at positions 671 to 1092 of the family's 1831-position model. The record is from RNAcentral. Lineage: Eukaryota; Fungi; Glomeromycota.